RNAcentral lists this ribosomal RNA (301 nucleotides) under uncultured bacterium. Its description in RNAcentral is "partial 16S ribosomal RNA". It matches the Rfam family "Bacterial small subunit ribosomal RNA", at positions 509 to 809 of the family's 1533-position model. The record is from RNAcentral.
CAGCCGCCACGGUAAUACGGAGGGGGCUAGCGUUGUUCGGAAUUACUGAGCGUAAAGCGCACGUAGGCGGCUAUGUAAGUUAGAGGUGAAAGCCUGGUGCUCAACACCAGAACUGCCUUUAAGACUGCAUCGCUUGAACGUCGGAGAGGUGAGUGGGAUUCCGAGUGUAGAGGUGAAAUUCGUAGAUAUUCGGAAGAACACCAGUGGCGAAGGCGGCUCACUGGCUCAUACUGGACGCUGAGGUGCGAAAGCGUGGGGAGCAAACAGGAUUAGAUACCCGUGUAGUCCCUGUCUCUUAUAA